This 620-nucleotide long non-coding RNA is filed under the name Danio rerio (zebrafish). RNAcentral's name for it is "lncRNA linc.sox4a (ENSDARG00000096312.4)". The record is from RNAcentral. Lineage: Eukaryota; Metazoa; Chordata; Actinopteri; Cypriniformes; Danionidae.
AUCCGAACGCGGAAAGUUUUGCGCUUAUGGAUUAUAACGACAAAACGGGAUUGCCUCUCAGUGGACCUCCACACGUGUUUGACAAAACUCUCCGAAGAUGACAUCCUGACGUAGGUUCUUGUGUGGGAGCUGAGGUCUUUUCCCAGACACAACAGAAGCCAGAGCCUGUGGUUGAUUUCAUGACUUCCUCCUCAUUGUUUGCCUGUCUGCGUGACUGGAAACCGGCAGUGACAGACCGAUGACUCCGGCCUCUCUUUAACCAGGCUUGUGGAGAAACUGGACCUGGCUCCCUCUGAAGUAGUGAGUAAUCAAGGCCGACGGCCGAGUGCCAUGCUUUUCCCACACUUGUGAGGCAGCGUAACCUGUCAUGCUGACCUUGUUGCUUAACUAUGCUUUCAGCUUGAUGUCCAAAUUAUCUCGGCACAAUGCUGCCAAGUCAUUUUGCUGGUUUGCACACAACUCUGCACCUAGUGGUCACUGUGAGUAGCAGUUAACUCUCCCCUCUAUUUAUCUUCCAUUUGGUUACAUUUCAAUAUAAUUAUUUGUUCAGCAGGUGCCUUUAUCCAAACCGUUUUACAAAUACUUCAAAACCAGAAGAGCAGUAUGUACAUUAUGAGCAG